Eriocheir sinensis (Chinese mitten crab) is the source of this 2693-nucleotide long non-coding RNA. RefSeq lists it as uncharacterized. The transcript is spliced from 2 exons. Lineage: Eukaryota; Metazoa; Arthropoda; Malacostraca; Decapoda; Varunidae. The record is from RefSeq and is a predicted model, not a curated record.
AAACAUGCUCUGUGGUGUCUCGGUCUGGGUAGUUUGUGUUUCCAAACUUCCUUACGUCUCCUCUUCUUUUCUCUUUUCUGCCAAAAUUUAUAUAAUACUGACUUUAUUGUCUCCAUUCCUGUGUUUUCAAAAAGAGCUCUUCCAAUGCUGUCCUCUUCGUCCUGCUGGUAUGGACGCGGGGAUGCUGCUCCUUUCCUCGUUAAGGCGGAUACACACUGCGAUGCGGCCUGUCCGGCGGCUGAAAAGCGGGAGGAGCUAGAGGCCUUAAGGCGGGUGUGGGCCGCCCUAAGUGAGUUACGGCCUCCUUUCCCUGCACGCCUUCGCUGCUACGAGUGAAACAUACAGCCUUCAUACAGACUUGGGGAUACACCCCCCAUCCUUCCCAACGUAGUAUCUUGCACGCGUGGGUGAGCAGGGACAUCACUGUGUUGCAAGUAUUGUAUAUAUGUAGUGCGGCGACGGCCUGAUGAACGAGCCUCCCAUAACCCACUUAGCCAGUGGUGUACCUCUUUGGCCGACUCGGUAAGGAGUGGCUCUCCCGUCACGCUGGUCGCGGGUUUAAUCCCAGGCAGCCAGGGAAUACUCUCACUUUGUCUUGAUUAAUUUCUCGUGUGUUUCGAUACACGCAGAGGACGUGUAGGAAAAUAGAAAAAGAGAAAAUAAAAAAAGCCCGGGGCAUUACAGUGGUGGCAUAGCGGUGGGCAUCCUCUCCUGCAGUUCUGUUGAGUUUCCCCGAAGGGGUAACAGGUAGGAUGGCCCAUGCUCCGAGGUUGAUAGAAAAUGGAAAUAUUGGAGGUAUGUCUCAAAGGGACAUUGUGGAGUUAUGUCUCAAAGGGACAUUGUCAACGCACAAAUUAAUCUACAUAGGGGGGAAAGCUGUGUAGUGCGGCGACGGCCUGAUGAAUGAGCCUCCCAUAACCCACUUAGCCAGUGGGGUACCUCUUUGGCCGACUCGGUAAGGAGUGGCUCUCCUGUCACGCUGGUCACGGGUUCAAUCCCAGGCAGCCGGGGAAUACCCUCACUUUGUCUUGAUUAAUUUCUCGUGUGUUUCGAUACACGCAGAGGACAUGUAGGAAAAUAGAAAAAGAGAAAAUAAAAAAAACCCGGGGCAUUACAUAUAUACCAUAGUGCUGAUGAAUGUUAAAGGUAACUUUUCACAAAAAUAGUGUUAGCUUGCAUAUAGAAUAUAGCAAAGUCUGAAUGUCGGAGGUUAUGAACAAAGGUAGGUUAGGUUUGUGUCAGUGCUAAUACCAUUAGUAGCUCCUCUUCUGAAAAGUUCGGCCUCCUUUUCUUCGUAGGGGGCAAAGGCAGAGCUCAUUGGCUGCUGGCUCCCUGCUGGCUGUUAGGGGAAGGUGUGCAGGUCUGACACAAUUAUUAAGUGUGCUCAGUUUCAGUGGACGACCUGAAACAGAAAUACAGAACAGAGCGUGUGCUAGCGUUUGAAAAGCGCGGCGAAAACAGGGCCAAUAAUGGCAUCCAAAUCUUAGGUUGUUGGAACUCUCUCUAUCAAGGGACUCUAGUGUUGAGUUGACGGUCGUGAGUUUCGCCUUUGUAACGGCACUCCCUGAUGUAGCUCUUUGGGUUUACUCACCUGGUUUACUCACCUGGUGGGGUUCCCAACCCCACAAUCCACAUGAUGAGGAGGGGGUACUAGGAAGCCAGCACUCUGCAGAUGUGCCAGCUCUCAAUAUAUAAUUACAUACAAAAAAACAAGUACAGGUAACUCUCGAUUUACGCGAGUUUGGUUUACGCAUUUUUUAAAUAACGCGGGGUCCAAAAUCCAAAUAAAUGUUUAAUUUACACGUUUUUUCACUUAUACGCGAUAUUUUUUGGAGUGGCCACCAGAUGUCUCACGCAACUGGACUCACACGGCGCUGCGGCCACACAGCUAAGCUCAGUUCUUCCCGCGCGCCACUUGAACAACAAUACAGUACCCACGCUGCCACGCUACUCAACAAUAGGGGUGGGCAGGUACCGGUACCAGAACCGGUACUAACGGUACCAGCUAUAUGGUACGGUACCGGUACUAGAUUGCUCGGUACCGGUACCAAUACUAGCCAGUCGCUCAUGGUGCCCCUAAUUUCUUCCUCACACGAGUGAGGCUGAGACUGAGUGCCUGAGUGGAUAUCUCGGUGAUAUGGAUAUUCUCUCUCUCUCUCUCUCUCUCUCCACUGAAUGAAGUGAAUAUUUAUUUUUCGAUAGAAACCUACCUCUUGUUUGAUUUACAUUGUUUUUGAUUUACGCGACCUCUUCAAGGACACAAUACUCGCGCAAAUCGAGAGUUACCUGUACUAAUGAAAGAGCUGGAUAGUGCAUCAUAUCCAGUCAACUUGUAAUGGCAUUUAUAAGAUUAGAUGAAGAACUAUUGUCCAUUUAAUGAUAUUCUAAAAGUUUGUCCCCAAGAUGAUGAGCUAGUGCUGAUUUAAAGAGAUAAAGACUGGAGGGUGACUAGGGACUCUGGGAGGGAAUUCCACAAAGGAAUUCCACUGACAUUAAAGGACCUCUUCCUAUAGUUCAAGCUGGGUCCUAACAUGUGCUAUUUUGUACAGGUGGCCUCUGGUGGGUAAAUCAGGAGUUAGAACAAAAGGUCUGAAGGGGAGAUUGCACAUUUAUUAUGAAAGGUCUGCCAGUACUUGAUCAUGUCAUGACGGAGCAAACGACUAUGUAUUGAGAAUAAAUCUAGUGAUUUUAAC